RNAcentral lists this ribosomal RNA (660 nucleotides) under Triticum aestivum (bread wheat). RNAcentral's name for it is "partial small subunit ribosomal RNA". Lineage: Eukaryota; Viridiplantae; Streptophyta; Magnoliopsida; Poales; Poaceae. The record is from RNAcentral.
GUCUGUCCAGUGCUCCAUCUAUGCUGAUUUUCAGAAACUGUUGCCCAGAGAGAUCUCCAUGAAGUAUUGCGCCUGAUGCAGAUGUCAAAGUAUUCAAUCUACUCUGAUGACCACCAGCGGUGUAGUCUUGGUACAUAUACUGCAUCCUGAGAGAUGAAGCAGCAAGGACUAGCAGCAUGGAUGUGAAAUAUGGUCAUGCUCUUAACCUGAUCUCCAGAAAGAUUUCUAUAUCUCCUGAAGCAAGAAGAGUAUUUUGAUGGAGCACAAUUGAUGUAGAUUCAAACUACUCUCCUGUGAGGAUUUGUUCUGCUAUACAUUUUCCUUUCAUUUCCCAUCCAGGUUGUGUUCAAAUGAUAGGUGGCAUUGCAAAUUAUGACCAGUUUAAAUCUUGUUUUAGUGAGGUAUGAUUUGCUCAUUAACUUUUAUUGCUCAUUUCAUUAACCCGUACAUUGCUGGCGGUUACUAUCUAAUACCCAAUAUAGAUAUGUAACGGACUAGGUUUUGUUUGAACGUGAUACAGUUGGGUUAAGCUUCUCAAAUGCCUAGCAUCAAUUAAGCUUGACCACCAAACUGAAACUGAAGAAUAUAAAAAGUUCAGUUAAGCAUCCGAAGCUUACGGACGGAAAUUUUUAAUGCAGUACACUAUAUGGUUAACCAAGG